AGUGAACGCUGGCGGUAGGCCUAACACAUGCAAGUCGAACGGCAGCACAGUAAGAGCUUGCUCUUACGGGUGGCGAGUGGCGGACGGGUGAGGAAUACAUCGGAAUCUACUUUUUCGUGGGGGAUAACGUAGGGAAAGUUACGCUAAUACAGCAUAUGACCUACGGGUGAAAGCAGGGGAUAUUCGGACCUUGCGCGAUUGAAUGAGCCGAUGUCGGAUUAGCUAGUUGGCGGGGUAAAGGCCCACCAAGGCGACGAUCCGUAGCUGGUCUGAGAGGAUGAUCAGCCACACGGGAACUGAGACACGGUCCAGACGCCUACGGGAGGCAGCAGUGGGGAAUAUGGGGCAAUGGGCGCAAGCCUGAUCCAGCCAUACCGCGUGGGUGAAGAAGGCCUUCGGGUUGUAAAGCCCUUUUGUUGGGAAAGAAAAGCAGCAGGUUAAUACCCCGCUGUUCUGACGGUACCCAAAGAAUAAGCACCGGCUAACUUCGUG
RNAcentral lists this ribosomal RNA (492 nucleotides) under uncultured bacterium. RNAcentral's name for it is "partial 16S ribosomal RNA". It matches the Rfam family "Bacterial small subunit ribosomal RNA", at positions 29 to 507 of the family's 1533-position model. The record is from RNAcentral.